RNAcentral lists this ribosomal RNA (199 nucleotides) under Chloroflexota bacterium. Its description in RNAcentral is "Chloroflexi bacterium partial 23S ribosomal RNA". It matches the Rfam family "Bacterial large subunit ribosomal RNA", at positions 2742 to 2925 of the family's 2925-position model. Lineage: Bacteria; Bacillati; Chloroflexota. The record is from RNAcentral.
CGGGUAGCCAUGGCCGGUUUGGAUAAGCGCUGAAAGCAUCUAAGUGCGAAGCCAACUCCAAGAUAAGGUUUCCCACCGGGUUAACCGGGUAAGGGCCCUGGUAGACAACCAGGUUGAUAGGCCGGAGGUGUAAGAGGAGCAAUCCUUUGAGCUGACCGGUACUAAUAGCCCGAGGGCUUGUUCACCUAUAACUCACUCU